Brienomyrus brachyistius is the source of this 3046-nucleotide RNA transcript. RefSeq lists it as uncharacterized. The transcript is spliced from 2 exons. The record is from RefSeq and is a predicted model, not a curated record. Lineage: Eukaryota; Metazoa; Chordata; Actinopteri; Osteoglossiformes; Mormyridae.
UUCGGGGUACAUAUCUCGAAACAAACAUGGCUGCCUCCACGAAUAUGCUGUUGGUGCUGUUGUCUGGGCACAAAAAAACUCAUGGAAAGAUUAAUUGACAUCAAAAACCAAACCGAAGAGGAAGAACGGCGAAAAAGGCUGCAGUAGCCUGUGCUAUCCCCCGUUUAGCUCAUCGGGUGGUAGUUGUGAAGACGGACUUGGAAUGGGAAUGAAUGUUGAGCAUGGACACGAAUGCAAUUUUUAGCCAUCUGAGAGUGACCAAAAUUCAGUGUGAAUACCUUCAUCUGAAGCUACAGAAACAGGGGCUAACUGAGGGCUUCCACCUGUUCCUGUAAGACAGGAGGUCUUGAUGUUCUUGUGGUAUAUGGCAAACCACAACAGUUUCAAAGAGAUUUCUGAGAAGUUUAACAUUUCACAGUCAACAGCACACAAGGCUGUGACUGAUGUCCAUCAGCUCUUCGCUACUCUUGGGCCCCUCUUUAUCUCCUGGCCAACUUCAUGUGAGAAGAAAGCAUCAUCAGCUGCUUUCCACAGGCUGUGCGGUAUCAAUGGAAUUAUUGGAGCCAUUGAUGGGUGUCACAUAAGAAUCCAGAGGCCAAAGAUCAGAGGAGGUGACUAUAUGAACGGGAAGUAAUUUUAUUGACAUUUCACAGACAUUUUUGUAGGUCCACCUGGAAGGGUGCAUGAUACAAGAAUGCUGAGGGCCUCUUACUUGGAGUUAAAGUUCUACGGUUUCUACGGUUGGAUCUAUGGUUUUUGUCUUUUUUCCUUCUGUAUUUCAUAAAGAAUAUUAAAAUACUUUCACCAGUCUGAUUCGCAAUAGAGCCCUCCUUAUUCCCGCAACCCUCAUCCCUGACACACGGUGUCCCUGAUUUCCAAAAAGGAUUUCAAAUUUAGAUUCGACUGACCAAAGAACAGUUUUCCACUUAGCCACAGACCAUUUUAAACGAGCUACUGGAUCAUGUUCAAAUGUGGCUUCUUGAAUGAGAGAGUUUUAACUGGCAUCCGCGGAUGGUAGGACAAAUUGUGUUAAAUGACCAUGUAUUUUGGAAAUAUUCCUGAAGCCAUUUAGUGAUUUCCAUUACAUUUCCUGUUUGUGAUGCAGUGCCGUGUAAAGACCCAAAGAUCACAAAAAGGCCUACAAUGUGAUCUACUUUGAUUUCCAGAGGGCCUUUGUUGUUCCCCACAAACAGCUCUUGCUUACGCUCAAAGUUGAAGGGAUUUUUGGAACUGUAGCAGCUUGGAUUGAAAACUGGUUAACAGACAGGAAGCAGCGAGUAGUUAUUAGAGGCUCCCUCCUGGAGCCGAGACCUUAUCGUGGUGGAGGGGUUUGUGUGCCAGGCCAGGGGGUGGGGCUCGAUGGUGAGCGCCUGGUGGCCAAGCCUGCACCCAUGGGGCCUGGUCGGGCACAGCCUGAAGACAGCACGUAGGUCCCCCAUCCAAUGGGCCCUCCACCUGUAGGGGGGGCCAAAGGGGUCGGGUGCAGUUCAAGUUGGGCAGUGGCCGAAGGCGGGGACCUUGGCGGUCUGAUCCUCGGCUGCAGAAGCUAGCUCUAGGGACAUGGAAUGUGACUAUUGUUCCUAAUUUACAUUAAUGAUAUUGACAUUGAUACAUACAGUAAACUGGUUAAAUUUGCAGAUGACACCAAGGUGGGUGGUGUAGCAGAUAGUGAUCUAGCAGCACAAAAGCUACAAUGGGAUCUUGAUUUAAUUAGUGACUGGGCUGAUACCUGGCAAAUGAAGUUUAACAUAGAUAAAUGUAAGGUAAUCCAUGUACGGACCAGAAAUAUAAAGUACAGAUAUGUUGAUGCGUCCAUAUCCCACUCUUACCAGUGUGGGGAAGCAAUUAAAAAGGCCAAUGGGAUGUUGGGUUACAUCUCUAGGUAUGUGGAGUUUAAGUCAAGGGAGGUGAUGCUAAGAUUAUAUAAUCUCUUGAUAAGACCCCACCUAGAAUAUUGUGUGCAGGUUUGGUCACCAUACCUUAAGAAGGACAUUGCUGCCUUAGAAAGGGUGCAACAUAGGGCUACAAGAAUGAUUCCUGGUCUUAGAGGAAUGUCUUAUGAGGAGAGGUUAGCUGAGCUGAAUCUGUUUAUCUUCGAACAAAGGAGAAUAAGGGGAGACAUGAUCCAGCUACCAGGGUUCAAGUCUCCGCCUGGGUUACAUGUGUGUGGAGUUUACAUGUUCUCCUCAUGUCGUCGUGGGGUUUCCUCUGGGUACUCUGGUUUCCCCCCAUAGUCCAAAAACAUGCUGAGGCUAAUUGGAGUUGCCAAAUUGCCUGUAGGUGUGCAUGUGUGAGUGGAUGGUAUGUGAGUGUACCCUCCGAUGGGCUGCCCCCCCAUCCUGGGUUGUUCCCUGCCUCGUGCCCAUUGCUUCUGGGAUAGGCUCCGGACCCCCUGCGACCCAGUAGGAUAAGCGGUUUGGAAAAUGGAUUGAUGGAUGGAUGAUCCAGGUAUACAAGAUUCUAACAGGUUUGGAUGCUGUUCAGCAAAAUGGUUAUUUCAAUAUUAGUUUAAAUGCUAGCACUCGUGGUAGUUAUAGUAUUUUAAAAUGAAUUUGAGAAAGCACUUCUUUACACAGCAUGUAAUUAGAGUAUGGAAUAGUCCUCCUGCUAGUGUAGCGCAAGCUAAAAUCCUAGGUUCCUUCAAAUCAGAGCUAGAUAACUGAGCUAUUAGUUGAGUUCUCCCCAAACAAGGUUGAUGGGCCAAAUGGCCUCCUCUCAAUUGUAAAUUUCUUAUGUUCUUAUUUGUCUACACAGUAUUAGGGGGAUUGUGAUCCUCUGCCCAUCUUUACUUCUAAGAGACACUGCAGUUCUAAGAUGCUCUUUUUAUACCUUAUCAUGUUACUGACUUUUUGCCAAUUGACCUAAUUAGUUCCAUAUUGUUCCUCCAGCUUUUUAUACCACUAACUUUUCCAUCCUCUUUUUGCCCGUCCCAACUUUGACACGUGUCAUGAAAUUCAAAAUGAGCCAGUAUUUUUCAUGAACUAGCAUAAUGUCUGUUUAAACAUUUCAUGUUUUUGAAUAAAAUAUGAAUUUGAGAUUUCCAUUA